RNAcentral lists this ribosomal RNA (497 nucleotides) under uncultured bacterium. RNAcentral describes it as "partial 16S ribosomal RNA". It matches the Rfam family "Bacterial small subunit ribosomal RNA", at positions 28 to 507 of the family's 1533-position model. The record is from RNAcentral.
GACGAACGCUGGCGGCGUGCCUAAUACAUGCAAGUAGAACGCUGAAGAGAGGAGCUUGCUCUUCUUGGAUGAGUUGCGAACGGGUGAGUAACGCGUAGGUAACCUGCCUUGUAGCGGGGGAUAACUAUUGGAAACGAUAGCUAAUACCGCAUAACAAUGGAUGACACAUGUCAUUUAUUUGAAAGGGGCAAUUGCUCCACUACAAGAUGGACCUGCGUUGUAUUAGCUAGUAGGUGAGGUAAUGGCUCACCUAGGCGACGAUACAUAGCCGACCUGAGAGGGUGAUCGGCCACACUGGGACUGAGACACGGCCCAGACUCCUACGGGAGGCAGCAGUAGGGAAUCGUCGGCAAUGGGGGCAACCCUGACCGAGCAACGCCGCGUGAGUGAAGAAGGUUUUCGGAUCGUAAAGCUCUGUUGUAAGUCAAGAAAGGGUGUGAGAGUGGAAAGUUCACACUGUGACGGUAGCUUACCAGAAAGGGACGGCUAACUACGUG